CCACGGGGGGCUGCAGUGGGGAAUAUUGGACAAUGGGCGAAAGCCUGAUCCAGCCAUGCCGCGUGUGUGAAGAAGGCCUUCGGGUUGUAAAGCACUUUCAGUGGGGAAGAAAGCCUUGGGGCUAAUACCCUCGAGGAAGGACAUCACCCACAGAAGAAGCACCGGCUAACUCCGUGCCAGCAGCCGCGGUAAUACGGAGGGUGCGAGCGUUAAUCGGAAUUACUGGGCGUAAAGCGCGCGUAGGCGGUCUGAUAAGCCGGUUGUGAAAGCCCCGGGCUCAACCUGGGAACGGCAUCCGGAACUGUCAGGCUAGAGUGCAGGAGAGGAAGGUAGAAUUCCCGGUGUAGCAGUGAAAUGCGUAGAGAUCGGGAGGAAUACCAGUGGCGAAGGCGGCCUUCUGGACUGACACUGACGCUGAGGUGCGAAAGCGUGGGUAGCAAACAGGAUUAGAUACCCGAGUAGUC
This 464-nucleotide ribosomal RNA is filed under the name Vreelandella stevensii. RNAcentral's name for it is "partial 16S ribosomal RNA". It matches the Rfam family "Bacterial small subunit ribosomal RNA", at positions 339 to 795 of the family's 1533-position model. Lineage: Bacteria; Pseudomonadati; Pseudomonadota; Gammaproteobacteria; Oceanospirillales; Halomonadaceae. The record is from RNAcentral.